This 106-nucleotide ribosomal RNA is filed under the name Heterocephalus glaber (naked mole-rat). The record is from RNAcentral. Lineage: Eukaryota; Metazoa; Chordata; Mammalia; Rodentia; Bathyergidae.
GUCUAUGGUCAUACCACCCUGAAUGUGCCCAAUCUCAUCUGAUCUCGGAAGCUAAGCAUGGUCGGGCCUGGUUAGUACUUGGAUGGGAGAAAUAGACCCAAAGAUA